GAGAAUUUCAAGUGCGACUAUUGGAAAAUCCAAGAGGCUGAAAGGAGUUUCUCGUCCAAAGGAUCACUGUGGUGUUGGAAAAGUUGAAUCUGAACGGCCUAGCAAUGUGGGUGUGUCAAAGAAGUAUUCGAGUACCAUUGAAUCUGAACGGCCUAGCAAUGAGGGCGUGUCAAAGAAGUAUUCGAGUACCAUUGGAUCUAAAGGGCCUAGCAAUGAGGGUACCAUUGAAUCAAAUGUAGAAAACAAAAUCGUCAGACCAACCCAAAACAGU
This 271-nucleotide long non-coding RNA is filed under the name Jatropha curcas. Its description in RNAcentral is "long non-coding RNA (JCUR_LNC002182)". Lineage: Eukaryota; Viridiplantae; Streptophyta; Magnoliopsida; Malpighiales; Euphorbiaceae. The record is from RNAcentral.